This 1556-nucleotide ribosomal RNA is filed under the name Staphylococcus sp. HMSC077B09. RNAcentral's name for it is "bacterial SSU rRNA". It matches the Rfam family "Bacterial small subunit ribosomal RNA". Lineage: Bacteria; Bacillati; Bacillota; Bacilli; Caryophanales; Staphylococcaceae. The record is from RNAcentral.
UUUUAUGGAGAGUUUGAUCCUGGCUCAGGAUGAACGCUGGCGGCGUGCCUAAUACAUGCAAGUUGAGCGAACAGAUAAGGAGCUUGCUCCUUUGACGUUAGCGGCGGACGGGUGAGUAACACGUGGGUAACCUACCUAUAAGACUGGGAUAACUUCGGGAAACCGGAGCUAAUACCGGAUAAUAUUUCGAACCGCAUGGUUCGAUAGUGAAAGAUGGUUUUGCUAUCACUUAUAGAUGGACCCGCGCCGUAUUAGCUAGUUGGUAAGGUAACGGCUUACCAAGGCGACGAUACGUAGCCGACCUGAGAGGGUGAUCGGCCACACUGGAACUGAGACACGGUCCAGACUCCUACGGGAGGCAGCAGUAGGGAAUCUUCCGCAAUGGGCGAAAGCCUGACGGAGCAACGCCGCGUGAGUGAUGAAGGUCUUCGGAUCGUAAAACUCUGUUAUUAGGGAAGAACAUACGUGUAAGUAACUGUGCACGUCUUGACGGUACCUAAUCAGAAAGCCACGGCUAACUACGUGCCAGCAGCCGCGGUAAUACGUAGGUGGCAAGCGUUAUCCGGAAUUAUUGGGCGUAAAGCGCGCGUAGGCGGUUUUUUAAGUCUGAUGUGAAAGCCCACGGCUCAACCGUGGAGGGUCAUUGGAAACUGGAAAACUUGAGUGCAGAAGAGGAAAGUGGAAUUCCAUGUGUAGCGGUGAAAUGCGCAGAGAUAUGGAGGAACACCAGUGGCGAAGGCGACUUUCUGGUCUGUAACUGACGCUGAUGUGCGAAAGCGUGGGGAUCAAACAGGAUUAGAUACCCUGGUAGUCCACGCCGUAAACGAUGAGUGCUAAGUGUUAGGGGGUUUCCGCCCCUUAGUGCUGCAGCUAACGCAUUAAGCACUCCGCCUGGGGAGUACGACCGCAAGGUUGAAACUCAAAGGAAUUGACGGGGACCCGCACAAGCGGUGGAGCAUGUGGUUUAAUUCGAAGCAACGCGAAGAACCUUACCAAAUCUUGACAUCCUUUGACAACUCUAGAGAUAGAGCUUUCCCCUUCGGGGGACAAAGUGACAGGUGGUGCAUGGUUGUCGUCAGCUCGUGUCGUGAGAUGUUGGGUUAAGUCCCGCAACGAGCGCAACCCUUAAGCUUAGUUGCCAUCAUUAAGUUGGGCACUCUAAGUUGACUGCCGGUGACAAACCGGAGGAAGGUGGGGAUGACGUCAAAUCAUCAUGCCCCUUAUGAUUUGGGCUACACACGUGCUACAAUGGACAAUACAAAGGGUAGCGAAACCGCGAGGUCAAGCAAAUCCCAUAAAGUUGUUCUCAGUUCGGAUUGUAGUCUGCAACUCGACUACAUGAAGCUGGAAUCGCUAGUAAUCGUAGAUCAGCAUGCUACGGUGAAUACGUUCCCGGGUCUUGUACACACCGCCCGUCACACCACGAGAGUUUGUAACACCCGAAGCCGGUGGAGUAACCAUUUGGAGCUAGCCGUCGAAGGUGGGACAAAUGAUUGGGGUGAAGUCGUAACAAGGUAGCCGUAUCGGAAGGUGCGGCUGGAUCACCUCCUUUCUAA